RNAcentral lists this ribosomal RNA (253 nucleotides) under uncultured bacterium. Its description in RNAcentral is "partial 16S ribosomal RNA". It matches the Rfam family "Bacterial small subunit ribosomal RNA", at positions 524 to 776 of the family's 1533-position model. The record is from RNAcentral.
UACGAAGGGCUCGAGCGUUAAUCGGAUUCACUGGGCUUAAAGGGUGCGUAGGCGGACGCGCAGGCAUUUUGUGAAAUCCCCCGGCUCAACCGGGGAACUGCAGGGUGAACCGCGCGUCUUGAGGCAAGUAGGGGCUGUCGGAACGCUAGGUGGAGUGGUGAAAUGCGUUGAUAUCUAGCGGAACGCCGAAGGAGAAAUCAGGCAGCUGGGCUUGUUCUGACGCUGAGGCACGAAAGCGUGGGGAGCGAACGGG